Molecule: unclassified non-coding RNA, 2172 nt
Filed under: Agrilus planipennis (emerald ash borer)
Lineage: Eukaryota; Metazoa; Arthropoda; Insecta; Coleoptera; Buprestidae
Description: methylcrotonoyl-CoA carboxylase subunit alpha, mitochondrial, transcript variant X1
Source: RNAcentral
AUAAGAAGUCUAAUAACAGAGAAACACAUUUCAUACAUAUUUUCAUCAUUACCAGAAAAUAUCUUAAUAUUUAUCGUGUGUAACCUUAUUGUUAAAAUGUUUUCUUGGGCAGUAUUACUUAGAAGUACCACAAAAUGCCAUAAGUUAUUUGUUUCCAAUAAUAAGGCAUUUUUACAAAGAUGCGGUUUCAAAAGUGACGUGAUUCAAAUAGAUAAGAUAGUGAUAGCGAAUAGGGGAGAAAUCGCGUGCAGAAUAAUUCGGACAGCGCGCAAACUUGGAGUGAAAACCGUUGCAAUUUUUAGCGAUGCCGAUGAAAAUGCAAUGCACGUUGCUAUGGCAGAUGAGGCUUAUCGAAUUGGUCCACCUCCAGCAAAUCAAAGUUAUUUAUGCGGGGAUAAAGUAAUUGAAAUUGCAAAAAGAUCGGGCAGUCAAGCCAUUCAUCCAGGUUACGGUUUUCUUUCGGAAAAUGCCGAAUUUUCCGAGAUUUGUCACAAAGUGGGUGUAACUUUUAUUGGACCACCCGCAUCAGCUAUAAAGAAUAUGGGAAUAAAAAGUACCUCAAAGAUAAUAAUGUCAGACGCUGGAGUUCCAAUAAUUAAGGGCUAUCACGGUUCUGAUCAGUCUGUAAAAAAAUUAAAGGAAGAGGCUUCAAAAAUCGGAUAUCCCAUAAUGAUAAAAGCGGUUAGGGGAGGAGGUGGUAAAGGAAUGAGGAUAGCCCAUUCUGAGAAAGAUUUCGAAGAAGCACUUCAGUCGGCUCGUACCGAAUCUGAAAAAUCUUUCGGGGAUUCUGAUGUUUUACUAGAGAGGUUUGUGUCUGAACCUCGACAUGUCGAAGUUCAAAUAUUUGCGGACACUCACGGUAAUGCUGUCCAUUUGUUUGAACGCGACUGUUCUGUACAGAGAAGACAUCAGAAAAUAAUCGAAGAAGCUCCUGCGCCUGGCUUAGCAAACGAUUUACGAAAUAAAUUAGGCUCAGCCGCUGUAAGGGCUGCCAAGGCAGUGGGCUAUGUGGGGGCUGGUACUGUAGAAUUUAUUUUGGACCGAACAACGCACGACUUCUUUUUUAUGGAAAUGAAUACGAGGUUGCAAGUGGAACACCCUGUUACGGAAAUGAUAACAGGGUACGACCUGGUCGAAUGGCAAAUAAAAAUUGCAGCCGGCGAAAAGCUUCCUGUUGAACAGGAAAAUAUAAAUUUCAAAGGUCAUGCAUUCGAAGCCAGGAUUUACGCAGAAGACCCUAAAGGUGGAUUCCUACCAGGGGCAGGACCUUUGCUCUAUUUAUCAACACCUGAACCGGCAAAAGACGUACGGAUUGAAACCGGAGUACAAGAAGGGGAUGAAGUUUCGAUUUACUACGACCCCAUGAUUGCCAAACUGGUGGUUUGGGCAAAAGAACGAACAGUUGCCCUUAAUAAAUUAAGAACCAACCUACUAAAUUACAAUAUUUCAGGUGUAGAGACGAACAUAAACUUUCUUUUAACUCUUACAAAACAUCCAGAAUUUACGAAAGGAAAUGUUCACACCAAUUUUAUACAUGACCACAACAAAGAUCUUUUCCCGGAAGUUAAACCAUCUCAAAACCAAUUAAUUCAGGCAGCUUUAGCAGUUAUACUGUCGGAAAAACAUAAAGAAAAUACGGAAGCAAUUAGACAAAACAAUCAAUUCAAUCCAUUUAUUGUCGAGUCUGGUUUCAGGGUAAAUUAUUUACAUAAACGAACAAUUAAAUUAAUAUUUAAUAAUGAAGAGUACGAGUUAGUAAUUCAGUAUUUGGGAAAAAAUGAUUAUAAUGUUUCACUGGAUAAGGGUAAUAGCUGGAUAAAAGUUGGUGGAAGUCUCAUUAAAGAAAAUAAUGUUUCAACUCUUGAUUUCUUCAUUGAAGAUUACAGGGGCUCUACUAAAUUUUAUUUAAAUGACGAACAUAUAGCUCUCUUUGAUCUGGAAAUCUUCCAAUGCUUUUACUUGAAUCAACACGUACACUUUUAACAAGAAGAAAAAUCACCAUGAUGCAAAUAUCCGUCGAGAUGAGCCAUCAGGGAUGAUCGCAGAAGUGGAUAGAGGGGAUAUCCAUGAGCAAUAUUUUAGGAGGUAAAAUUCAAUUUAAUUUCGAAAACAAGCAAUUUUGGAUAGACGAAAAUGAAAGCGGUUCAGGUGAAUUAGAUAAUAGAGCCGUUG